GGUUAAUACCCUGUGUAGAUGACGGUACCCGAAUAAGAAGCACCGGCUAACUACGUGCCAGCAGCCGCGGUAAUACGUAGGGUGCGAGCGUUAAUCGGAAUUACUGGGCGUAAAGCGUGCGCAGGCGGUUUUGUAAGUCAGAUGUGAAAUCCCCGGGCUCAACCUGGGAACUGCAUUUGAGACUGCAAGACUGGAGUUUGGCAGAGGGGGGUGGAAUUCCACGUGUAGCAGUGAAAUGCGUAGAGAUGUGGAGGAACACCGAUGGCGAAGGCAGCCCCCUGGGCCAAUACUGACGCUCAUGCACGAAAGCGUGGGGAGCAAACAGGAUUAGAUACCCUGGUAGUCCACGCCCUAAACGAUAUCAACUAGGUGUUGGGAGGGUUAAACCUUUUAGUGCCGUAGCUAACA
RNAcentral lists this ribosomal RNA (408 nucleotides) under Candidatus Accumulibacter phosphatis. RNAcentral's name for it is "bacterial SSU rRNA". It matches the Rfam family "Bacterial small subunit ribosomal RNA", at positions 447 to 857 of the family's 1533-position model. The record is from RNAcentral. Lineage: Bacteria; Pseudomonadati; Pseudomonadota; Betaproteobacteria.